Molecule: ribosomal RNA, 2901 nt
Filed under: Triticum aestivum (bread wheat)
Lineage: Eukaryota; Viridiplantae; Streptophyta; Magnoliopsida; Poales; Poaceae
Description: partial small subunit ribosomal RNA
Source: RNAcentral
AUGGAUCUGGUGACGGGUGCCAUGGGCAGCCUGCUGGUCAAGCUGGGGGAGCUCCUCAGGGAGGAAUACCAUCUGCAGAGGAGCGCCAGGAACAAGGUGGAGUUCCUCUCGACAGAGCUAGAGAGCAUGCGAGCCGCCCUCCUCAACAUCGCGGCUGUGCCCCGUAAGGACCUCAACGUCCAGGUCAAGCUCUGGGCCAGCAAGGUCAGGGAUCUCUCCUAUGACACGGAGGACAUCAUCGACAGCUUCUUCGUGCGUGUCGUCGAGGGCGGUCAUGUGCCCCCAGCCUCAAACCGCUUCCGUUCAUUCAUGAAGAAAAUGUCCAAGUGGUUCGAGAGAGUCAAGACUAGCAGGGAGAUCGCUCAAGCCCUCGAGGAGGUCAAGGUGCAGGUCUUGGAGGUGGCCGACCGGCGCGACAGGUACGCACUCGACAGGCUCGGUGUUGACAACGCGUUUGUGGCUGCUGCAGCCACCGCUGUCAACCCUCUCUUGCCGGCUCUAUAUACAAAGGUGACUGACCUCGUCGGCAUUGGUGGGCCGAGCCAGGAUCUGAUCAAGGAGUUGAAGGACGUGACCAAGGAACUAAAGAUAGUGUCCAUUGUCGGGUUCGGAGGGCUAGGCAAGACCACUCUUGCCAAAGCUGUGUAUAACGGCUUAGAAGCACAAUACGAAUGCACAGCAUUCGUGUCCCUCUCACAGAGACCACAACUGAAGAGGGUCCUCAAAGACAUGCUACAUCAGCUCGACGACAAGGAGUUCGCCACCAUCAAUGAAGCAUCACGAGAUGAAAUACAACUCGUCGAUCAACUGUCCAAAUUCCUUGAGACCAAGAGGUACCUCAUUGUUAUUGAUGACAUAUGGGAUGCAAUGUCAUGGGAGAAUGUCAAACAUGCUUUCCCUAAUAAUGGUUGUGCAAGCAGAAUAAUCACAACAACUCGUGAGUCUGGUGUUGCUACACACAUCAGUCGCAACUGUUAUGAAUUACCUCCUCUUAGCCCAGAGAAAUCCAAAUCAUUAUUCUAUAGGAGACUAUUUGGCAUCGAAGAGAAAUGUCCUGCACAAUUGGCCAAAGUAUCCAUGAAGAUCCUGAAUAAAUGUGGGGGUCUACCAUUAGUUAUCAUCACUAUGGCUAGUCUAUUGUCUACUAAACAAGAAAAUCCAACACAAUGGGAUGGUGUGUGUAACUCUAUUGGUCGUGGAUUAAUCCGCGGCGAUCCUAAUAUAGAAAACAUGAAGGAAAUAUUGGCCCUAAGUUACUAUAACCUACCUUCACAUUUGCAAACAUGCCUGUUGUACCUAAGUAUAUAUCCAGAAGACUAUGAGAUUCCGAAGGGUGAUUUAAUAUGGAAAUGGAUUGCCGAAGGUUUCAUCACACAAGAAAACAACAUGGUUUCAUUAUUUGAGGUUGGGGACGGUUAUCUCAGAGGGCUCAUAAAUAGUGGUAUGGUACUGGCAUGCAUGGACUAUAAAAGACAAGCAACACAUUGUCGUUUGCAUGACAUUGUACUUGAAGUCCUCUGUUCCCUGUCACAAGAAGAAAACUUUGUUACAGUGCCAAAUCAUGCCGAUGGCAUAGAUCGGCGAAGUAAGGUCCGGAGGCUAUCCAUCCAGAAUAGAGAGGAAGGUACUGAAACUACACCACUUGCUUCCCUGCUGCAACCACAAGUGAGGUCCAUUACUACCUUUCCGCCUGCUAUUAACUUAGUACCGGCUCUUUCGAGCUUUGGAAUUUUGCGUGUAUUGGAUCUAAGUGGAUGCUUCAUUGGUGAAGGUAGCCACAUUAACCUUAAUGAUGUGGGGAAUUUAUUUCACCUGAGGUACCUUGGUCUUGCUGGUACACAAAUCUGUGAACUGCCGGCAAAAAUUGGUAGGCUGCAGUUUUUGCAAGUCCUGGAUGUAAGAUACAAUCCCAAACUUACAGAACUACCAUUGAGUGUUUAUGAGUUGAAAAGAUUAAUGUGCCUACAUGUUGAUGGUUACUGCACGAGGCUCCCAGAUGGGUUGGGGAAUCUGACAUCCAUCCAAGUAUUGAAGAAGAUUUGUGCCACUCUAAACAUUGUGAAAGAGUUGCGCAACCUGUCAAAGCUAAGGGAGCUCAAAAUCAAGUUUGAGGAUAAUGCAAGCCUGGAGUUAAGGAAAGCUUUUGUUGAGUCUUUAUCCCACCUUCAAGACCUCCAAAGUUUAGUUAUUCGUGGAUCUUUUCCAUCCAUGGAUCUCUUUGGGGAAGAUUGGGUGCCCCCUCAACGACUCCGCGAAUUUGAGUCGGUCAUGUGCGGUAUUUUCCCUGCGGUGCCGGCAUGGAUAAAGGUCAACCCAGUUAUUGUCUCGGUCCUCUCUGAUCUGACCAUGGGCUUCAAGGAACUACAGGAGGAGGACAUGCUUAUCCUUGGGAUGUUGCCGGCUCUCCAUCGCCUCUGGUUAUUCAGUUCCCAACAAACACAGGCAGUGUUGCCUAUUGGUGCUGACGGGUACCGUUGUCUAAGAACAUUCACACUAUAUUGUAUAACACCAAAGCAGAUAGCAUUUCAACGAGGAGCUCUUCCGAAGGUUGAGGCGGUUCUCUUCAACUUCAGUGUUCGGAUGGCAAGAGCCAAUGGCAAUGAUGGUUUCAACUUCGGUCUGAUGAACCUCGCCUCACUUAAGCAGAUCACUGUCGGAAUCGAUCGUGAUGGUGCAACGAUUGAAGAUGUGAAUGAGGCAGCAGCCACAUUGAGGCGUGAAGUCAGCACUCAUGACAAUCAUCCCGGCAUUACUGUUGAUAUCAGGCCACCAAUAAAACCAUGCGAGCUUGAGAAAACAGAUAUUACAUUCGAUGAACUGAUUGGGGAGCCAAGGAAACUCUCGGGGAAGUUUCAGAAAUUUCGUGCACAACCUUGUUCAGGUCCAAAUUCUGCCUGCUGA